CCUCGGCCUCCCAAAGUGCUGGGAUUACAGGCGUGAGCCACCGCGCCCGGCCAGAAUUUUUGAUUUUAGUUUUAUCAAUGAAUUAACUGUGAUUUUCUCUCCUGUUUCUAUUAUUUUUGCUAUAAUAUGCUGUUAAUUAGUCUCCAAAGAUGGCCCCUAACAAGUUUUCUCCUUGCUUUAUGCACAUAUUUCUACAUACAUCAAAAUGUGGUAGCUUAUCUUUUCUUAUUUCCCCUAAACCUUCACCCUCUGGAAUGGUCUUGUGACUGGUUUUAACCAAGGAAGGUGGGAGAAGUGAUGUUCUAAGAGUUUAAAAUCAAAGCCUUAAGAAGACUAGCAGCUUUACCUUCUUGUCUCUUGGCACCAUGCCUUGAUUUGGGAAGGAGCCCAAGGUACAUGGAGAGGAAUGUGGAGGGUACUGGGUCUUGAUCGACAGCCCCUGCUGAGCUACCAGCUGAAAGCCAGAGACAAUUGCUAGACAUUUAAGUGAAUUAUCUUGACAUACCAGCAGAGUUGAGUCCCCAAAUGACUGUAGCCACAGCUAACAUCACAUGGAACAGAACUGCCCAGGUUUACAGUUGAGGAAACAUACUCAGAGG
RNAcentral lists this long non-coding RNA (599 nucleotides) under Homo sapiens (human). Its description in RNAcentral is "HSALNT0139908". The record is from RNAcentral. Lineage: Eukaryota; Metazoa; Chordata; Mammalia; Primates; Hominidae.